Molecule: long non-coding RNA, 412 nt
Organism: Mytilus californianus (California mussel)
Lineage: Eukaryota; Metazoa; Mollusca; Bivalvia; Mytilida; Mytilidae
Exons: 3
Source: RefSeq, a predicted model, not a curated record
AUCAAGUACCUUAAUUUUUUUCUGUGUAGGAUAUUUGGGAUCAAACGAGUUUAAAAGCACUAGGGAGGAAGUAUUGGAUAACAUGGAUGAGGAAGAGGCAGAAUUAUCGGAUACCAUGGAGUACUCAGGAUCAAAUAAUAGCACUGAUGAGGAAGCAGAUGUAUCGGAUAACAUAUAUGUAGGGAACGUCACUGAAGAAACACAUACAUCAAAAAAGGCACUUGAAAAUGAUUCUCUCCAGAGGAGAUCAGUGUUUACAUGGAUUCUUGGUUGCUUAAUUAUGUCUGUUUGGUCUUUAUCUGUUUGAAGAUGGUUGAUCAAUAGAACAGAUAUAUAGUACCAAGAAGAAAACAUUUGAUUUAACUUUAUGUGAUUUAUUUGUUAGCUCUAGAUAAAAUGAUCACAAAAUUGU